CAGUAGCCGCGGGAAUACGGAGGGUGCAAGCGUUAAUCGGAAUUACUGGGCGUAAAGCGCACGCAGGCGGUCUGUUAAGUCAGAUGUGAAAUCCCCGAGCUUAACUUGGGAACUGCAUUUGAAACUGGCAAGCUAGAGUCUUGUAGAGGGGGGUAGAAUUCCAGGUGUAGCGGUGAAAUGCGUAGAGAUCUGGAGGAAUACCGGUGGCGAAGGCGGCCCCCUGGACAAAGACUGACGCUCAGGUGCGAAAGCGUGGGGAGCAAACAGGAUUAGAUACCCCCGUAGUCCAUGUCUCUUAUAC
RNAcentral lists this ribosomal RNA (301 nucleotides) under uncultured bacterium. RNAcentral's name for it is "partial 16S ribosomal RNA". It matches the Rfam family "Bacterial small subunit ribosomal RNA", at positions 509 to 807 of the family's 1533-position model. The record is from RNAcentral.